Molecule: non-coding RNA, 78 nt
Filed under: Synechocystis sp. PCC 6803
Lineage: Bacteria; Bacillati; Cyanobacteriota; Cyanophyceae; Synechococcales; Merismopediaceae
Description: Photosynthesis regulatory RNA1
Rfam family: Photosynthesis regulatory RNA1
About the family: Formerly known as Syr1 discovered in Synechocystis sp PCC 6803, is a regulatory factor controlling photosynthetic functions. PsrR1 interacts with the ribosome binding regions of several photosynthesis-related mRNAs.
Source: Rfam by way of RNAcentral
CACGGGUUCUAGGGGUUUCGGUACCUUCCAUUGACAUUGAGUUCUCCUAGAUAUGCCCUCGGUGAUGCCGGGGUAUUU